RNAcentral lists this ribosomal RNA (263 nucleotides) under uncultured bacterium. Its description in RNAcentral is "partial 16S ribosomal RNA". It matches the Rfam family "Bacterial small subunit ribosomal RNA", at positions 334 to 611 of the family's 1533-position model. The record is from RNAcentral.
AGGGCCUACGGGGGGCAGCAGUGGGGGAUAUUGGACAAUGGGGGGAACCCUGAUCCAGCGACGCCGCGUGAGUGCAGAAGUAUUUCGGUAUGUAAAGCUCUGUCAGCAGGGAAGAAAGCAAUGACGGUACCUGACCAAGAAGCCCCGGCUAACUACGUGCCAGCAGCCGCGGUAAUAAGUAGGGGGCAAGCGUUAUCCGGAAUUACUGGGUGUAAAGGGAGAGUAGACGGCUGUGCAAGUCUGGAGUGAAAGGCGGGGGGCCA